UCCCAAACAACCUCCUUGAUUCGCUCUCAAUCCGUUCCCAUUUUUCAACUCUCUUUCUCUUUGCUUUCUUUCUCUGAGCCGCAGAAAGCAGAAGCAGCAUGGGGUCUAUGGAGCAGACAAUUCUGGUGACCGGCGGCGCGGGGUUCAUAGGGAGCCACACGGUGAUUCAGCUGCUCGAGGCGGGGUUUAGGGUUUCCGUCAUUGAUAAUCUCGAUAACUCCGUUGCUGAAGCUGUUGAUCGCGUCAGGGACUUGGUCGGCCCCAAGCUCUCUCAGAAACUCCACUUUCAGCUGGUAAUUCUAGCAUUGGAUUACUCUGUUUGGUUGCCGAGAAAAUUAGGGAAAUGAAACGGAAAAUAAUUUUGAACUUCUUUGCUCUUCUGUUCUUGUUAGUGUGUUAGUGUCGGUUGGAUGACGAGAUCUCUUUUAUGCUUAGUAGACUAGCGGCUUUAGCUUCGCAUCGCUCUGUUUGGUUCCCAAGAAAAUUAGGGAAAUCAGGACUGGAGAAAGAAAAUUUUGACUUGUUAAUUCUCUUUUUCUGAUUUAGUCAACUAUCUAGGUUCGGUUGGAUUAUGACUGAUCACUUUAGAUAUUUAAAUGACAGAGCUAGAGAAAUAUCCGCUUUUCUAUUAGUUUUCUGUGAACUUUUUGCCCUGUUUGGUUCCUGAGAAAGCCUGUGAAACUGAUUUCUUGGUUUCUUGAUCCUUCCAAUUAAUUAAUAAAUAUUGGCAAUAAAAUUCCUCUGUUUUUGUAUUUUAUUAAAUUCCAACGGUUUCUUAGAAGGCCAAAACUGCGUUUUGUGUUUUGGCUUUGGUGUUAUUCUCACUAAUCAAAUUGGUAAUAUCUGUGUGCAGGGCGAUCUCAGAAAUAAGGACGAUUUGGAGAAGCUGUUUUCUCAAACUAAGUCAGUAAUUUUUUUUAUUAGCAUCUAAGUAUGUCAUUAUAAUGUUUAGGUAUUGACAUUUCUGCUGGAUAACGUGACAGGUUUGAUGCUGUAAUCCACUUUGCUGGCCUAAAAGCUGUAGGAGAAAGCGUUGCACACCCGCACCGUUAUUAUGAUAACAAUUUGGUUGGAACUAUUAAUCUUUACGCGGUCAUGGCGAAAUACAAUUGUAAAAAGGUUUGCUUCUGUUUUCUCAGUUCUGCAGUGGAGCCUCAAAUUAGGUUGCGAUAUUUUGUUUCCCGUAUGUUAGGAUCAGUGUAUAACCAACCACAAGAAGUGCAUGGUUUACUAACCGAAUGAAUAUGAUGUUUUCUGAGUGUAGAUGGUUUUUUCAUCAUCUGCAACUGUGUAUGGGCAACCUGAAAAAAUUCCAUGUGUUGAGGAUUUCAACCUUGUAGCUUUGAAUCCAUAUGGCCGUACCAAGGUAUACACCAUGUCUUUCUCCCGCAAUCGUUGAAUUCUCGUUUUGGGUUAAAACUGGGAUAAAAGGGAUGCAUCCUUUGUCUUCUCUAACAUCAAAUUUACUCUUACUAGCUUUUCCUUGAAGAAAUUGCUCGAGAUAUGCAAAAUGCAGACCCAGAUUGGCAAAUUAUUCUGCUGAGGUACUUCAAUCCUGUCGGGGCUCAUGAGAGUGGGAAAAUUGGUGAAGAUCCCAAAGGCAUCCCAAACAACCUAAUGCCGUACAUACAGCAAGUAGCUGUUGGAAGAUUGCCUGAGCUUAAUGUCUAUGGUCAUGAUUAUCCCACCAAGGAUGGUACUGCGGUAUGUAAAAUCCAUUAAGAUUUUCUUUUGUUUAAGACAAUUGGGCAAGAGUGGUAAGAAUUCACUUAGUUGUUUAUUGACCUCCAUCUACUACGAGUCCUCUGUUGAAUCUAGUUAGCUUGGUCUGCAUAUGUUCCACUCAUAGCAUCGUCUUUAAUCAUG
Molecule: long non-coding RNA, 1866 nt
Filed under: Malus domestica (apple)
Lineage: Eukaryota; Viridiplantae; Streptophyta; Magnoliopsida; Rosales; Rosaceae
Description: long non-coding RNA (MDOM_LNC003659)
Source: RNAcentral